RNAcentral lists this ribosomal RNA (194 nucleotides) under uncultured bacterium. RNAcentral's name for it is "partial 16S ribosomal RNA". It matches the Rfam family "Bacterial small subunit ribosomal RNA", at positions 338 to 524 of the family's 1533-position model. The record is from RNAcentral.
CCUACGGGAGGCAGCAGUGGGGAAUAUUGCGCAAUGGGCGAAAGCCUGACGCAGCGACGCCGCGUGAGGGAUGAAGGUUUUCGGAUCGUAAACCUCUGUCAGAAGGGAAGAAACUACGUUGUGCUAAUCAGCAGCGUACUGACGGUACCUUCAAAGGAAGCACCGGCUAACUCCGUGCCAGCAGCCGCGGUAAU